This 205-nucleotide long non-coding RNA is filed under the name Mytilus galloprovincialis (Mediterranean mussel). The record is from RNAcentral. Lineage: Eukaryota; Metazoa; Mollusca; Bivalvia; Mytilida; Mytilidae.
GUCAUGGUAAAGUAGAUGUGAAUGAAAUCAAAAGCAUAUAUUUUAUAAGACCAAAAAACAGGCAAAAUGAAAAAUCCUUGUUUUGUCAUGGUAAAGUAGAUGUGUUUGAAAUAAAAUGUAUCAUAUGAAGACUAAUUUACAUGCAAAUAUGUAUUUUUUAUGACAAGCCUCUACCCCUUGCGACGCAAAAUCUGACACCCCGAGC